RNAcentral lists this ribosomal RNA (468 nucleotides) under uncultured bacterium. RNAcentral describes it as "partial 16S ribosomal RNA". It matches the Rfam family "Bacterial small subunit ribosomal RNA", at positions 28 to 507 of the family's 1533-position model. The record is from RNAcentral.
GACGAACGCUGGCGGCGUGCUUAACACAUGCAAGUCGAACGGAAAGGCCCUGCUUUUGUGGGGUGCUCGAGUGGCGAACGGGUGAGUAACACGUGAGUAACCUGCCCUUGACUUUGGGAUAACUUCAGGAAACUGGGGCUAAUACCGGAUAGGAGCUCCUGCUGCAUGGGGGGGGUUGGAAAGUUUCGGCGGUUGGGGAGGGACUCGCGGCUUAUCAGCUUGUUGGUGGGGUAGUGGCUUACCAAGGCUUUGACGGGUAGCCGGCCUGAGAGGGUGACCGGCCAAAUUGGGACUGAGAUACGGCCCAGACUCCUACGGGAGGCAGCAGUGGGGAAUAUUGCACAAUGGGCUGAAGCCUGAUGCAGCAACGCCGCGUGCGGGAUGACGGCCUUCGGGUUGUAAACCGCUUUCGCCUGUGACGAAGCGUGAGUGACGGUAAUGGGUAAAGAAGCACCGGCUAACUACGUG